AGUGAACGCUGGCGGCGUGCCUAAUACAUGCAAGUCGAACGGACAAGUAAGAGCUUGCUCUUAUGAGUUAGUGGCGCACGGGUGAGUAAUGUAUAGCUAAUCUGCCCUACACUAGAGGACAACAGUUGGAAACGACUGCUAAUACUCUAUACUCCUCUCUAGCAUAAGUUAGAUAGGGAAAGUUUUUCGGUGUAGGAUGAGGCUAUAUUGUAUCAGCUAGUUGGUGAGGUAAUGGCUCACCAAGGCUAUGACGCAUAACUGGUCUGAGAGGAUGAUCAGUCACACUGGAACUGAGACACGGUCCAGACUCCUACGGGAGGCAGCAGUAGGGAAUAUUGCUCAAUGGGGGAAACCCUGAAGCAGCAACGCCGCGUGGAGGAUGACACUUUUCGGAGCGUAAACUCCUUUUGUUAGGGAAGAACAAUGACGGACCUAACGAAAAG
Molecule: ribosomal RNA, 443 nt
Filed under: Campylobacter concisus
Lineage: Bacteria; Pseudomonadati; Campylobacterota; Epsilonproteobacteria; Campylobacterales; Campylobacteraceae
Description: bacterial SSU rRNA
Rfam family: Bacterial small subunit ribosomal RNA
Source: RNAcentral